RNAcentral lists this ribosomal RNA (635 nucleotides) under uncultured bacterium. RNAcentral describes it as "partial 16S ribosomal RNA". The record is from RNAcentral.
CUGGAAAUUCCACUACCCUCUCUAGAAUUCUAGCAAAUCAGUAUCAAACGCAAUUCCAGGGUUAAGCCCUGGGCUUUCACGCCUGACUGGAUUCGCCGCCUACGCGCGCUUUACGCCCAGUAAUUCCGAGCAACGCUAGCCCCCUCCGUAUUACCGCGGCUGCUGGCACGGAGUUAGCCGGAGCUUCUUCUCCCGCUACAGUCAUCAUCUUCACGGGUGAAAGAGUUUUACAACCCUAAGGCCUUCUUCACUCACGCGGCAUCGCUGGAUCAGGGUUUCCCCCAUUGUCCAAUAUUCCCCACUGCUGCCUCCCGUAGGAGUCUGGACCGUGUCUCAGUUCCAGUGUGGCUGAUCAUCCUCUCAGACCAGCUAUCGAUCGUUGCCUUGGUAGGCCAUUACCCUACCAACUAGCUAAUCGAACGCGGGAUCCUCUAACGACGGCCUAAGCCUUUCCCCCGAAGGGCGUAUGCGGUAUUAGCAGUCGUUUCCAACUGUUAUUCCCCAUCGUAAGGUAGAUUCCCACGCGUUACUCACCCGUCCGCCACUAAGGUAACCGGAGCAAGCUCCGGGCCUUCGUUCGACUUGCAUGUGUUAAGCGUGCCGCCAGCGUUCGCUCUGAGCCAGGAUCAAACUCU